Podarcis lilfordi (Lilford's wall lizard) is the source of this 1067-nucleotide non-coding RNA. NCBI's taxonomy places the organism in Eukaryota, Metazoa, Chordata, Lepidosauria, Squamata, Lacertidae. The record is from the annotation of a GenBank genome assembly.
UUUCUACUUCUUCUGUGAAAAGUGAGGAUUUUCUGUUGCAGAUGAGUGUCUGAAAGAGACAUCAAACCUGUGAAUAUUGCCAUCAGAUGCAUGAGAAAAAUAGAAGUGGAUGUGCAAGUUGAUGCAGAGUCAUGACAAUUGUGGCUUUUUUUCUUCUGGAUUCAGAGAGUCCAUAAAGACUACCAAAGUGGCUUUUACGGGCUUAAUUUAAAAGCUGAGAAAAAUAAAGAACAAAACCAGAAGAAGCAGAUAUAAUCUUACAGCCCUUAGUUUUGCCAGAGAAUCCUUUCCCUUCUUUGGCAGGCAAUGGGUCCUAACCCCUCACAGACAAUGAGUGCAGCAUCUGGUGUGAAUAGAAAGGUCUGCCCCGAUGUUUUCAUUAGACUUAGGUGGGCUUAAGUGUUAUCUACUGUGUGGUAGUGCUGACAACAUCAUAUAUUUGGGGUCAAAUUAACAUACCUUGACCCUGUUUACAUCUGGGCAGGUCAGCAGAGUAGUCAUAAAAAGAGGCCAACUACAAAGAGCUGUGAAUGAUGAGAUGUUCCCAUAUUGGUCUACAGAACACUUAAAGUGCUGAGUCGGUGUCUUGGGAUUCAGGUUGGUACCCAGGUGACCCUAUCUUUAGGGGACACAUGUCCCCAUGUCUACCACACCAUCUGUCAAGUGACCUUUUCAUAAUCCGUCUUGAUUCUAACUUACUGUGAUUAACUUUUACAGAACUCUAGCCUACAAAGCUGCAAAAUCAUAACUACAAGCAAGUCCAGAACUGUUCUUUGAGCACCUUAGAGGGCAUCAAAAAGGGUAACUGCUGGGUACCACUUCUAACUAUUACUAACUUUAAUAGUCCUAGUCCAGGACUAUUCGAGUGGGCAUUAAAUGUACAGUGUGGGUAUGACCGUUGGAGUUCUUUAUGGUGCUGCUUUCUGGGGAUCUGCCAAAGAUUGAUCAGUAAAUGAUAGGAAGGAAAAUGGACAGGAACCUCAGGAGACACUGCUUACAGAAGGCAAAAAAAUAAAUAAAAAUGCACCUAAGUUAAGGAUAAUUGCAGCAUUGUCAGGGAAAGCCGG